AGAGUUUGAUCCUGGCUCAGAAUCAACGCUGGCGGCGCGCUUAACACAUGCAAGUCGAACGAGAAAGUGGAGCAAUCCAUGAGUAAAGUGGCGUACGGGUGAGUAACACGUGGGUAAUCUACCUCUUGGUGGGGAAUAACCCCGGGAAACCGGGGCUAAUACCGCAUAAGCUUGAAAGAGGAAAGGCGAAAGUCGCCGAGAGAGGAGCCCGCGGCCGAUUAGCUAGUUGGUAGGGUAAAGGCCUACCAAGGCAAAGAUCGGUAGCCGGCCUGAGAGGGCACACGGCCACACUGGCACUGAAACACGGGCCAGACUCCUACGGGAGGCAGCAGUGGGGAAUCUUGCACAAUGGGGGAAACCCUGAUGCAGCGACGCCGCGUGAGUGAUGAAGCCCUUCGGGGUGUAAAGCUCUUUCGGCAGGGACGAUAAUGACGGUACCUGAAGAAGAAGCUGCGGCUAACUACGUGCCAGCAGCCGCGGUAAUACGUAGGCAGCGAGCGUUGUUCGGAGUUACUGGGCGUAAAGCGUGCGUAGGCGGUGUUCCAAGUCUGGUGUGAAAUCUCCCGGCUCAACUGGGAGGGUGCGCUAGAAACUGGGACGCUGGAGUGUGGGAGAGGUAAGCGGAAUUCCUGGUGUAGCGGUGAAAUGCGUAGAUAUCAGGAGGAACACCUGCGGUGUAGACGGCUUACUGGACCACUACUGACGCUGAGGCACGAAAGCGUGGGGAGCAAACAGGAUUAGAUACCCUGGGUAGUCCACGCCCUAAACGAUGCAUACUUGGUGUGGGCAGUUCAGUCUGU
Molecule: ribosomal RNA, 800 nt
Filed under: uncultured bacterium
Lineage: Bacteria
Description: bacterial SSU rRNA
Rfam family: Bacterial small subunit ribosomal RNA
Source: RNAcentral